UACGUAGGGCGCAAGCGUUGUCCGGAAUUAUUGGGCGUAAAGAGCUCGUAGGCGGUCUGUUGCGUCCGCUGUGAAAACCCAGGGCUUAACCCUGGACCUGCAGUGGGUACGGGGCAGACUAGAGUGCGGUAGGGGAGAUCGGAAUUCCUGGUGUAGCGGUGAAAUGCGCAGAUAUCAGGAGGAACACCGGUGGCGAAGGCGGAUCUCUGGGCCGUAACUGACGCUGAGGAGCGAAAGCAUGGGGGAGCGAACAGG
Molecule: ribosomal RNA, 255 nt
Filed under: uncultured bacterium
Lineage: Bacteria
Description: partial 16S ribosomal RNA
Rfam family: Bacterial small subunit ribosomal RNA
Source: RNAcentral